This 7326-nucleotide long non-coding RNA is filed under the name Homo sapiens (human). RNAcentral's name for it is "HSALNT0187325". The record is from RNAcentral. Lineage: Eukaryota; Metazoa; Chordata; Mammalia; Primates; Hominidae.
GAGGAAGGAAGGAAGGAAGGAAGGAAGGAAGGAAGUCCUUCCCUGGAACUACAGAUCAAUGCAGAUCACAUGACCAAGCCAUAAAGAUGAAUGGAAGGCCAAGCAGGCACAGGGUCCUCAGACUGUUCCCCAGGAGAGCCUUUCUCACCUCUCCCCUUGCAGCUCUCCAGCCCCAUCAGCCUCCUGAGCCAUCUCCUCCUUCCAGCUCUUCCUGUCUAUGACAACCAGAUCUCCCUCUCAGGAAUCUCAGGUGCCAUUCUAAGCCCCUUCAGUGAUGAGAAGAAUAAUUCUCGAAGCCUCACUAGAGAGAUGUGUGAGUGACAAUAUGGAACGAAGGCCUGAUGGUGAAGUUUCAGAAACUAGUUCCUGAGAGUGGUUCAUAUGUUAAGCUGAGGGUUUGAAGAGCUUCCAGAUAGCUGAACACGUGAAGAUUCCUGGAGGGUGGCACCCAAGGAGGGCAUCGAAGCUCCACACCCCUGCCCACCUGCCAUUCGCUAGCAUCUCUUCAUCUGUACCCUUUGUAAUAGACUUUACAAUAAACUCAGUAUUUCCCUGAGCUCUGUGAGCCACUCUAGCAAACUAACUGCACACAAGGAGUGGGCUGUGGGAACCCUGAUCUAUAGCCAGUGGGUCAGAAGCACAGGUAAAACAACCUGGAACUUGUGAUUGGCAUCGGAAGUGGGGGACAUUCUCAUAGGACUGAGCCGUCACCUGUGGGCUCUGAUGCUAGCUCCAGGUAGAUAGUGUUGGAAUUGAACUAAAGUGGAGGACACCCAGCUGGUGUUCGCUGCUGGAAGAUUGCUUGCUGGCUGGUGGGAAGAAACUCCACCCCGCAAACACAUGUCUGGUGUCAGAAGUACUGUGUGACUGCGCUGGGAGGGUGCAGUAGGAAGAAACUGGGCUCGUUACUCCUGUAUGCUCUGAAGGUAUGAUCCUUUUUGCCAGCUUUCUUCCUCUGCCUGCUAUUUCCUGGCUGUCAUCUUUUUCAAAAUUUGCUUUUAAAUAUGAAAAGACUCAUAUUUAUUAUAGAAAAUUUGGAAAAUACAGGAAACACAGAGACAAUAUGGAAAUCAUCUAUAAUUCAAUCAUUCAAAGACAACCACCAUUAACUAUUUGACCUAUAUCUUUCUCAUAGACAGUUGUCCCUCAGUAGCCUGAGGGGAACUGGUUCCAGGACCCCUGUGCAUACCAAAAUCUGUGGAUGCUCAAGUCCCUUAUAUAAAAUGGUGUAGUAUUUGCAUAUAACCUACAUGUGCCCUCCUGUAUACUUUAAAUCAUCUCUAGAUUACAAUAUAAUGUAAAUGCUAUGUAAAUAGUUAUACUGUCUUUUUUAUUUCUAUUAUUUUGUAUUGUAUUGUGUUUUUUUCUGAAUAGUCAUUUACUGCAUAAUGACAUUUUGGUCAAUGACAAACUGCAUAUGUAACGAUGGUUCCAUAAGAUUAUAAUGCAGCUGAAAAUUUCUGGUCACCUAGUAACAUCAUAGCUCUCAUAACAUUGUAGGGCAGUACAUUACUCAUGUGUUUGUGGUGGUCCUUUCAGAGGUAUUCCAGAAGGAGGCAUUGUUAUCAUAGGAGAUGACAGCUCAAUGCAUGUUAUUGCUUCUAAAGACCUUCCAAUGGGACAAGACGUGGAGGUGGAAGACGGUGAUGUUGAUUAUCCUGAGCUUGUAUAAGCCUAAGCUAAUGUGUGAUUUGUAUCUUUGUUUUUAAUAAUAAGGUUUAAGAAGUCAAAAUUAAAAUUAAAGAAUUAAAGAAUAGAAAAAGCUUAUAUUAAUAGAAUAAGAAACAAAGAAAGUAUUUUGUAGAGCUGUAAAAUAUAUUUGUGUUUUAAGCUAAGUGUUAUUACAAAAAAGUCAAAAAGUUUUUUAAAAUUUUAAAGUUUAUAAACUAAAGUUACAGUAGGCUAAGGGUAAUUUAUUAUUGAAGGAAGAAUAACUUUUAGAAAUAAACAGUGCAGCCUAAGUCUACAGUGUUUACAAAGCCUACUGUAGCAUACAGCAAUGUCCUAGGCCUUCACGUUCACUCACCACUCACUCACUGACUCACCCAGAGCAAUUUCAGUCCUGCAAGCUCCAUUCAUGAAAAGUACCCUAUACACGUAUACCACUUUGUAUCUUUUAUAUUGUAUUUUUAUUUCACCUUUUCUGUGUUUAGAUACACAAAUACUUACCAUGGUGUUACAACUGCCUACAAUGUUCAAUACAGUCACAUACUUUACAGUUUUGUAGCCUAGGAGCAAUAGGCUAUCCCACAUAGCCUAGGUGUGGAGUAGGCUCUACCAUCUAGGUUUGUGUAAGCACAUUCUGAUGUUUGCACAAUGAUGAAAUUGUCUAACAAUGCAUUUCUCAGAAUGUAUCCCUAUUGUUAAGUAAUGCAUGACUGUAUAUUCCAUCCUCAGUUGGUUGCAUCCAUGGAUGCAGAACCCAUGGAUACAGAGGGCCAACUGUACAUACAUACUGUCUUAGUCCAUUUUCUGUUGCUAUAACUGAAUACCUGAUACCAGGUAAUUUAUCAAGAAAAGACAUUUAUUUCUUAAGUUCUGGAGGCUGGGGAGUCUAACGUGAAGGUGCCAGCAUCUGGUGAGAGCCUACUUCCUGCAUUAUAAUGACAGAAGUCAUUAUGUGGCAAGAAGGCAAGAGCAUGCCAGUUCAGAUCUCCCUUCUCUUAUAAAGCCACCAGUCCCAUCAUGGGCCCACCCUGAUGACUUUAUCUCAUCCUAGUUACCUCCCAAAGGCCCCACCUCUAAAUACCAUCAACAUAUGAAUUUGGCGAUUAAAGUUUCCAAAACAUUGAAACCAUAGCACAUGCUUUUAGUUUUAGCCAAGUUAGUACCAUACAGCACAUAAAUUAUAUAUUGUUGACAAUUCCACUUCCUGUAUGGACAGACUAGGUUGGUUUUGGACCAACCCUCCCCGAGAACUAGAAAAGCUGGAUAACAUAUAACAAAAUAUGUUUGAAGGCUUCUGAAAAAUGGUCAAAGCAAUGAAACUUUGUGGUGUUACAAUCUGAAAGAGGAAGGAAAUCAAGAGAAAUGAACCUGGAAUUUGGGGCCUCUCUGCCCCUCAAAGCAACAGGUAGAUUCCAUAAGCAAGAAGAGUGACAGGGGACUGAUAAAUCAAUGAGCUUUCAGCCGUCUGGUGAGGCAAUGUAACCAAAAUGGAGGUCAGGAUUCACUCGGGAGGAGGGAUCCUGGUAACACCCCAGGAAUUCUGCUGGGACCCCAAAGGCCUGUGCUCUAGUUAUAAGAGUAAAUCCACCCUCACAAAGAAUGAAGCCAAGCUUCAAAUCAUGUCAAUUCAAUCUAACCUUUGACUAGCUAACAGCCAGAAGCAAACCUUCCUCUGAUGGAAGAUAACAUCACAUAAAACCUCAAAUUAUCCCUACAUUUUUCAAACACUGUUUCACCCUUAAAAAGGUAGAUAAUAGAGAAGGCUAGAGAGCUGUCUUUACUGGGGAAAUAGCUGUGGCAGAUCAUUGCACCAUAGAAUGUGAUUAGAAAAGCAGAUCAAUAUGCAAGAGCCAUAGUUAAAGGCAUCACAGAGCCUAGGAGCCAAUGAAGACUAUACAGGAUCAGAUUCUGGGGAGGGGAAUCUGCAGAGAGGAAGCUGGCGAUCUCUGUCAAUUCUGUGAAUAGGUAAAAAGCUGAGAAACUUUGCCCAGGCAGUGAGUCACUCCCAGGUGAUUGAGAAACCAUCAGAGCUUCAGAAGUCUUACGAGGUGUAAUUGAUUAAAAUUGGAGACUUGAGGACUCUCAAAAAUGUGGUUUGUUUUGCCUCAAUAAGUUGGCUAAAUUCUGUAACUGUACAAGGAAUAUGGCUAAAAUUUCAAGCAGAGAAUUUUGGGCAGUUUUAUGGUGUUGAGGAGAGAAAGAUUAGAAUUUAGGGCCUGCCCGGGGAACAUGUCUCAGUGAACAUUUCAGAGAAUCAAUUAGAAACCCUGGAGGUCUAUGCCCCAGGAUCAGGAGCUAACCAGAGGCAACAAGCUGCACUGGAACCAGAACGACUUCAUCCACCCUCCCAGUUGCUGCUACACCCUGCCUCUCAGGCCCUGAGCUGAAGCAGCACCCAUCUCCCAGGGCAUCAAUGCCUUGGCUACCCAGAGCAGUCACACUCCCUGGUGCUGGAGCUGAAGUGGCACUGUGUCUUCCAGGGAAUUCUUGCCUUGGCUACUCAGGGUAGUCACACCCCCAGCACCUGAGCUGAAGUAAUGCCCUACCUCCCAGGGAAUCAGUGCCUUGGAUGAGCCUGGCAGCUGUACAUCCCAGGGCUGAAUUGACAUGGCACCUUGCAUCCCAAGAAAACAGCAUUGAGUGAGCUGAGACCACCUACCAGGCCAAACAACUGUAGAACCUUGUCUUCUUGGAACUGGACUACCUCUCGCCCUUGACACCACAAGAUUCUGAGCUGCUGAGGCACCCUGCCUCCUUGGAAAGUGGAGCCAUUGCUGUGCUGCUCCAUGUCCCCUGGGGCCCAAGCCACAGCUGAACUCUGCCAUUCCUGGUCCUUGCUGUCUCAUGGAGCCAGGGACACGGCUAUGUUGUCUCAUCAUCCCUGGGUCCAGAGUCACCACUACACAGUGCCUUAUCGUCCAGGACCUGAGUUACUGCUGUGCCCUAUUGGCUCCAUUUCCCAAAUUAUAGCUGUUCUCUGCUCAUGGACCUGAAUCUCCAGAGCACCCCUUCUCCCCUGGAGCUGAGCCAGUGCUGUGCCCUGCCCUUCAGGGUCGGAGUCAGAGCUACCAUCCAGCCUAAUGAGCCCGAGCUGCUGGAGUGUACCUCAAAGCCACAGACACCAGCUUUAUUGACCAUCUGCAUCUACCUAUGCCUCAGAGAGUGAACCUUCACUCCAAGUGCCAGCUGCCACAGUAGGUUUGUGAGACCGUGAGCCCAAACUCAGGUUUUAAAGCCACUCUGAGCACCUGUACCCUGGAACCUAGCACCACUGCAGCCACUUGUGGGCCAUGCCAGACCCAACAUGAGGAGAGAUGCCCUCACCUAAGACUCUUCUUAUGGAGGAAAUGAGAAUGGGAGGACCCUAAAAGCUCUUGCUACUGAGAACUCUAACAGCACACACUUCUGCCACUGCUGUCACAAACUCUGGCAGCCUAGGCCGGUGAGGUGCCCACAGUCAUUCUUGACCUUGACUGCAGCUGAAGAAGCUGCACAGAGACUAUACCACUGCCUCCACUUGGAAUCAGGGCCACCACACCCUGCCCAAACAGCACCUUAAGACCCACCUGCAGGUGAAAGUCUUUACCUACAAAAGACACUCUGUAAAUUUUGGAAGAGGUGACUGUUCCACCAGAUGCACAGACAUCAAUACAAGGAUAAAAGAAACAUGAAAAAGCAAGAAAACAUGACACCACCAAAGGAACACAAUAAUUCUCUAGUGACUGACCUCAAAGAAAAGAAAAUUUAUCAAUUGCCUGAAAAGGAGUUCAAAAUAAUAUUUUUAAGAAAAUUCAGCAAGAUAUGAGAUUCAGGAUACAGAUGGACAACUCAAAAAACUCAAGGAAACAAUUCAUGAUCUGACUGAGAAAUUCAACCAAGAGAUAGAUAUUAUAAAAGAGAACCAAACAGAAAUCUUGUAGCUGAAGAAUGCAAUAAAUGAAACAAAAAAUACAGUAGAGAGAUUCAACAGCAGACUAAAUCAUGCAGAAGAAUCUGUGAACUUGAUAAUAGGUUUUUUGAAAUUACUCGGGGUAGGGGAAAAGGAAAGAAAAUAAAAAAGUAAGAUGGCCUGCCUGACUUAUUGGAUGCCAUUAAGCAAAAUAACUCUUGCAUUACUUAUGUUCCAGAAGAAGAGACAGAGAAAGGGAUAAAAACUUCUUUAAUUAAAUAAUUGCUGAAAACUUCCCAAGUCUUGGGAGAGAUAUAGACAUCCAGAUCCAUGAAGCUCAAAGAGGUUCAACCAAAAGAGGUCCUCCUCAAGACAUAUUAUAACUAAACUGUCAAAAGUAACAAAAUGAGCAUUUUGAAAGCAGCAAGAGAAAAGCAUCAAGUCACAUAUAAGAGAAUCACUAUUAGGCUAUCAAUAGAUUUCUCAAGAGAAACCUUGCAAGCCAGGAGAGAAUGGCAUGAGAAUGGGAUGAUAUAUUCAAAGUGCUGAAAGAAAAAAAAAAAACUGUCAGCCAAGAAUACUAUAUCAAGUAAAUCUGCCCUUCAUAAAUCAAAGAGUGGAAAAGAUAUAGAAAGAAAAUCAGAGUGGAAAAGAUAUCCAAAGUCUAACCAAAUGAAAACUGGAAUGGCCAUCCUAGUAGCAGAAAAAUAGACCUUAAAGCAAAAAGUUACUAAAGUUAAAGAGGAGUAUUUCAUACUCAUAAAUGUUAAUUCACCAGAAAGCUAUCACAAUUCUAAAUCUAUCUGUGUGCGACAACAUAGUUUUAAAAUAUUUCUUUAAAAAAGCAAAAAUUGACAGAAUUAAAGGGAAAGAUGACAAAUUCACACUCGUAGCAGAAGAGUUUAAUAAAUCUCUCUCCAUAGCUGAUAAUGGACCCAAUAAAAUCAGCAAGGAAUGAGAAGAAUGAAACACAUAAUUGGCAAAUGUAUAGCACCACAUGAUUUCUUUCACGUAAUGUUCAAAAACUGGCAAAAUUAUGUCAUUAAAAUCAUGCCAGUGGCUACUUUUCAGGGGGAAAAAAGCAUAGUUGUUGGAAAUGAACAUAAAGGAGAGUUUUUGGGGUACAGGCAACAUUCUAUAAUGUUCUAUUCCUUCAGCCGGGUUGUACUUAGAUGAGUAUGUUCAUUUAGAGAUAAUCAUUGAACUGGUAUAAUCCAAUUUCAAAUGUGUAUUAAAUAUAUUUGUGUAGUUCAAACACUACACAUAGCAAUAAAAAACAAUUUUAUCCACAUAUCAAACUAAGUAAAUCUUGGAAAUUGUGUUGAAUGAAAACACAUAGAUAGAGAUUAAAAAUUUUGUAAAUUAUUUUAAAAUGCUAUAUAUUUUUAUAUAGAUAAAUAUAUGUAGUAAAGGUAUAACUUCUGAAUAAGAAGAGUAUGUACCAAUUUCAGAUAACUCCAUAGUUAUCUAUGGAGCAGUAGGGAAGGGAAGACUAUAAAAGAGGACUCAAUGAUAUAUGCAACCUUUUAUUUCUUAAAACAUUCUUAAGUAAAUAUGGCAAACUGUCAACAUUUGUUAAAUUUGGCUGGAGGGUAUAUGGAUGUUUGUUAUAUUUGCUGUAAUUUUCUAUAUAAAAGAUUUCAUAAUUAUUUGUUUUUAAUACUGCAAAUAUGUUCUCAUGUUAUCAGAUAUUCUGAAAUAGCAAAUUUUAAAGACUUAUUUUUACUAUUAUAAAUAUUACUAUAAUAAACAUCCUUGCCUUAAAUACU